CGGGACGGGUGAGUAACGCGUGGGUAACCUCGCCCUAUACACACGGAUAACAUACCGAAAGGUAUGCUAAUACGAGAUGAUAUAAGAAAUUCGCAUGUUUUUCUUAUCAAAGCUGAGGCGGUAUAGGAUGGACCCGCGUCUGAUUAGCUAGUUGGUAAGGUAAUGGCUUACCAAGGCGACGAUCAGUAGCCGACCUGAGAGGGUGAUCGGCCACAUUGGAACUGAGACACGGUCCAA
RNAcentral lists this ribosomal RNA (237 nucleotides) under uncultured bacterium. RNAcentral's name for it is "partial 16S ribosomal RNA". It matches the Rfam family "Bacterial small subunit ribosomal RNA", at positions 100 to 334 of the family's 1533-position model. The record is from RNAcentral.